Molecule: small RNA, 136 nt
Filed under: Salmonella enterica subsp. enterica serovar Muenchen
Lineage: Bacteria; Pseudomonadati; Pseudomonadota; Gammaproteobacteria; Enterobacterales; Enterobacteriaceae
Also listed under: 1 other name
Description: RtT sRNA
Rfam family: RtT RNA
About the family: This family represents a bacterial cis-regulatory element known as RtT RNA. The exact function of RtT is unknown although it is thought that it may be involved in changing the cellular response in relation to amino acid starvation.
Source: RNAcentral
UAUCCCCCAAACUAAGGGGGGAUGAGAACCACCGACCGGGGUUCGACAACUGACGCAGCCAGUUGGACAGACGACGAGCUUGCGAGGAGACUGCCCGAAGGGCGAGCGCAGCGAGUCAAUCCCCCCCUCACCGCCA